GUGCUCGCUUUGGCAGCACAUAUACUAAAAUUGGAAUGAUAUAGAGAAGAUUAGCAUGGCCCCUGCACAAGAAUGACAUGCAAAUUCAUGAAGCAUUCCAUAUUUUU
Small nuclear RNA from Papio anubis (olive baboon), 107 nucleotides. The record is from Ensembl. NCBI's taxonomy places the organism in Eukaryota, Metazoa, Chordata, Mammalia, Primates, Cercopithecidae.